This 442-nucleotide long non-coding RNA is filed under the name Capsicum annuum. Its description in RNAcentral is "long non-coding RNA (CANN_LNC013690)". Lineage: Eukaryota; Viridiplantae; Streptophyta; Magnoliopsida; Solanales; Solanaceae. The record is from RNAcentral.
UUUUAAAGAAAAUCCUUCCACGUUUAUUUCUAUGGCAACGGUAAAAGCGGUCGGCGCAUCAGCGGAAAAAAAAAGUGGAAGGAAGAGGGAUUGACGGGAAGGGAGAUAAGGGAACAACGGCGGUGAUGGCUGUGCGUCACUAUCCAUGGCUUCUCCAUUAAUGGCAUCGCCGACGACGGUUGGGAUUGGGAGAUGCAUUAUUUUUUAGAUUUUCCGGCGAAAUAGCCGCUGGAAUAAGGUCAGCAGUGGCGAAAGAGGUCGAAUCUAGUGAAAUUUGAAGUUUCUCGGUGAAUUUUCAAUGAUUUUCCGAUGAGUUUUUGGUGGAUCUCGCCAGAAACGGAGCGAGAUGUGGAGCACCAGCGCAGCUGGUUAGCCGGAGAAGGCGGUGACAUCAUGUAUGGCGUUCCGUUUACUAGUUUUCCAAUUUUUUGGCGAUUCCGAC